ACUCCUACGGGAGGCAGCAGUAGGGAAUCUUUCACAAUGGGCGAAAGCCUGAUGGAGCAAUGCCGCGUGCAGGACGAAGGCCUUCGGGUUGUAAACUGCUUUUAUAAGCGAGAAAUAUGAUGGUAACUUAUGAAUAAGGAUCGGCUAACUACGUGCCAGCAGCCGCGGUCAUACGUAGGAUCCGAGCAUUAUCCGGAGUGACUGGGUGUAAAGAGUUGCGUAGGUGGCAAGAUAAGUAGAUAGUGAAAUCUGGUGGCUCAACCAUUCAGACUAUUAUCUAAACUAUCUAGCUCGAGACUGUUAUGGGUAACUGGAAUUUCUAGUGUAGGAGUGAAAUCCGUAGAUAUUAGAAGGAACACCGAUAGCGUAGGCAGGUUACUGGGACAGUUCUGACACUAAGGCACGAAAGCGUAGGGAGCAAACGGGAUUAGAUACCCCGGUAGUCUACGCCGUAAACGAUGGAUACUAGCAGUUUUGGGUAUCGACCCCCGGAGUUGCGAAGCUAACGCGUUAAGUAUCCCACCUGUGUAGUACGAUCGCAAGAUUAAAACAUAAAGGAAUUGACGGGGACCCGCACAAGCGGUGGAGCGUGAUCUUUAAUUCGAUGGUAAACGAUAAACCUUACCAAGGCUUGACAUCCGAUGUAGGCUCUCGAAAGAGAACUGUGCCUUCGGGAACAUCGAGACAGGUGAUGCAUGGCCGUCGUCAGCUCGUGUCGUGAGAUGUUUGGUUAAGUCCAUCAACGAGCGCAACCCUUGCAACCAGUUGUAUUUUUCUGGUAGGACUGCCCCGGUAACGGGGAGGAAGGAGGGGAUGAUGUCAGGUCAGUAUUUCCCUUACGCCUUGGGCUAGAAUCGCGCUACAAUGGCUGGUACAAUGCGAAGCGAAGCAGUGAUGUGAAGCAAAUCGCACCAAAGCCGGUCCCAGUUCGGAUAAAAGGCUGAAACUCGCCUUUUUGAAGUCGGAAUCGCUAGUAAUCGCAGAUCAGCAUGUUGCGGUGAAUACGUUCCCGGGUCUUGUACACACCGCCCGUCAAACCAUGAGAGUCACCAACACCCGAAGUCCGCCUCGGCGGCCUAAGGUGGGGGAGAUGAUUGGGGUUAAGUCGUAACAAGGCAUCGGUACGAGAACGUGUCGAUG
RNAcentral lists this ribosomal RNA (1140 nucleotides) under metagenome. RNAcentral describes it as "bacterial SSU rRNA". It matches the Rfam family "Bacterial small subunit ribosomal RNA", at positions 335 to 1520 of the family's 1533-position model. The record is from RNAcentral.